GUGGGGAAUUUUGGACAAUGGGGGCAACCCUGAUCCAGCCAUGCCGCGUGCGGGAAGAAGGCCUUCGGGUUGUAAACCGCUUUUGUCCGGGAAGAAAAGGCAUCUCCUAAUACGAGGUGUUCUUGACGGUACCGGAAGAAUAAGCACCGGCUAACUACGUGCCAGCAGCCGCGGUAAUACGUAGGGUGCGAGCGUUAAUCGGAAUUACUGGGCGUAAAGCGUGCGCAGGCGGUUCGUCAAGUCUGAUGUGAAAUCCCCGGGCUCAACCUGGGAACUGCAUUGGAUACUAGCGAGCUUGAGUGUGGCAGAGGGGGGUGGAAUUCCACGUGUAGCAGUGAAAUGCGUAGAGAUGUGGAGGAACACCGAUGGCGAAGGCAGCCCCCUGGGCUGACACUGACGCUCAGGCACGAAAGCGUGGGGAGCAAACAGGAUUAGAAACCCGAGUAGUCC
RNAcentral lists this ribosomal RNA (450 nucleotides) under uncultured bacterium. RNAcentral describes it as "bacterial SSU rRNA". It matches the Rfam family "Bacterial small subunit ribosomal RNA", at positions 354 to 796 of the family's 1533-position model. The record is from RNAcentral.